CCCUUGAAGUGCUCCUCAAUCUACAGCUUAUGUCUUCUUCGGAUAAAAAAUUAGGAGCCUUAUUGAUGAAUCUCACAUUUAUUUUGUUCCAACAAAAAUUCUAAGAAAAUACCGAAAAAUGCUUUUUGUAAAACCGAUAAGAUCAAGUUAGAAAAAUAUAAAAAAUUCUGACCAAAAUUUUUUAUGCCGUUGCUUCGAAGAAUUCGAACUGUUCAGACAAUUGGUGGAGAACCUCCGCUCCGCUGCCGACUC
RNAcentral lists this long non-coding RNA (252 nucleotides) under Ananas comosus (pineapple). RNAcentral's name for it is "long non-coding RNA (ACOM_LNC002474)". The record is from RNAcentral. Lineage: Eukaryota; Viridiplantae; Streptophyta; Magnoliopsida; Poales; Bromeliaceae.